UGGGGAAUCUUGCACAAUGGGGGAAACCCUGAUGCAGCGACGCCGCGUGAGCGAUGAAGGUUUUCGAAUCGUAAAGCUCUGUCCUAUGGGAAGAUAAUGACGGUACCAUGGGAGGAAGCCCCGGCUAACUACGUGCCAGCAGCCGCGGUAAUACGUAGGGGGCGAGCGUUGUCCGGAAUUACUGGGCGUAAAGGGUUCGCAGGCGGAAUGGCAAGUCCGAUGUAAAAGGCGAAGGCUCAACCUUCGUAAGCAUCGGAAACUGUCAAGCUUGAGUGAAGGAGAGGCAAGUAGAAUGCCUAGUGUAGCGGAGGAAUGCGUAGAUAUUAGGAGGAAUACCGGUGGCGAAGGCGACUUGCUGGACUUCAACUGACGCUGAGGAACGAAAGCGUGGGUAGCAAACAGG
This 403-nucleotide ribosomal RNA is filed under the name Fusobacteriota bacterium. RNAcentral describes it as "Fusobacteria bacterium partial 16S ribosomal RNA". It matches the Rfam family "Bacterial small subunit ribosomal RNA", at positions 355 to 776 of the family's 1533-position model. The record is from RNAcentral. Lineage: Bacteria; Fusobacteriati; Fusobacteriota.